RNAcentral lists this ribosomal RNA (561 nucleotides) under uncultured bacterium. RNAcentral describes it as "bacterial SSU rRNA". It matches the Rfam family "Bacterial small subunit ribosomal RNA", at positions 338 to 916 of the family's 1533-position model. The record is from RNAcentral.
CCUACGGGAGGCAGCAGUGGGGAAUAUUGGACAAUGGGCGAAAGCCUGAUCCAGCAAUGCCGCGUGAGUGAUGAAGGCCUUAGGGUUGUAAAGCUCUUUUACCAGGGAUGAUAAUGACAGUACCUGGAGAAUAAGCUCCGGCUAACUCCGUGCCAGCAGCCGCGGUAAUACGGAGGGAGCUAGCGUUGUUCGGAAUUACUGGGCGUAAAGCGUACGUAGGCGGUUAUUCAAGUCAGAGGUGAAAGCCUGGAGCUCAACUCCAGAACUGCCUUUGAAACUAGAUAGCUAGAAUCACGGAGAGGUUAGUGGAAUUCCGAGUGUAGAGGUGAAAUUCGUAGAUAUUCGGAAGAACACCAGUGGCGAAGGCGACUAACUGGACGUGUAUUGACGCUGAGGUACGAAAGCGUGGGGAGCAAACAGGAUUAGAUACCCUGGUAGUCCACGCCGUAAACGAUGAUAACUAGCCGUUCGGUCUCUACGAGACUGAGUGGCGCAGCUAACGCAUUAAGUUAUCCGCCUGGGGAGUACGGUCGCAAGAUUAAAACUCAAUGAAAUUGACGG